Molecule: non-coding RNA, 1204 nt
Organism: Schizosaccharomyces pombe (fission yeast)
Lineage: Eukaryota; Fungi; Ascomycota; Schizosaccharomycetes; Schizosaccharomycetales; Schizosaccharomycetaceae
Source: the annotation of a GenBank genome assembly
CUACAUCUUUUAAAGUCAUCUUUUUUUCUACCACUGUACUGAUCUUUCGAGCGUGAAAGAUCUUUCUACAAUGCGGUCUGCACAGUGAAUCAGUGGGAUAAGGAAAGAAAAGACUAAAUUCCCCUCUUCUCAAAGGCAAAUGCUAAAUAAAAUCCUGCUGCUUCUUUUUCCUGUCCACCAAUUCCACGGUGUCCUUCAUUAUCAACGACUUUCAUUCGAUCCAUUAGGGGUCCAUACGUUUCAGAGUUUUUCUCUUCAUUUAAGAUGUCCAAAAAAGGUUUUACCCAUAUUAAUUCAAGAUUGUAUCCUUCGGCAACAGCACGAAAGGCUUCAAAAGGAACUACAUAUUCAGGAACAUCGGUAACAGCAUCCUCUAAAUAAAAAUAAUAUUGAAUUCCAUACGGAGGUCGAAAAGAGCGUGGAGGUGAUUCAGGAAAUCUGACUUUGUAUAUGUCAUUUCCCCAUUCUUUUUCUCCUGGUUUAAGCAUUUUAAUAUGUUUGACAAUUACAUCGGAAUUGGGAAUCGUUCCUAUCAUUACUCCACCACGAGGAAGGCAUUUAGAAACGUUCCCCAACAAGACCCUAACCUUUUCUUCGCUUUCAAAUGCAUAAUGCAUGCAAAACUGUAGAGAAACAACGUCAAAUUUUCUUUGGUCUGGGGGAAGUAAUUCGUUAAUUGAGCUAGAAAAACAGUCGCCAGCGUAGAAUAGUGCAUCAAAAGAAGCAUGCAUUUCACGGUAUCUCUUCUUGGCCUGAUUUACGGAAACUUCAGCUAUGUCAAUCCCAAUAUAUCCAUCAAUGCCAGCUUUGUCCCAUUUAAUUAAAUCACCACCUUUUCCACAUCCCAUGUCUAGUACCAAAAUAGGAUAAUCAGAAGCAUGGGGUGCGAAUUUUUGUAUGAGAACAGAUUUGAUCCAGUUGUUAAACCUCUUUAGUUGAAUAAUAGGAGAAAAUUGUCGUUUUUUAUAACCCAAAUCAGGACGCGCGUUAUAGUGUGAACGUACCACAUCCUGCGCAUUACCAUUGUUUUCAUGCCUAUUAUAACCUCUGCGACCAGAGUUGUCAUUGUUUUGGAAGUAAUCGCGACGCCUUGGUUGUUGUUCAAUUACUCGAUUCAUUUGUGCAGUAGGUCUCGCAUAUCUGCGAUUUUCUGUUGGAGGCUGUUCCUCAUGCACUCGGGAGUUCGAGCUGCUCAUAUCUCUUA